This 67-nucleotide transfer RNA is filed under the name Downesia tarsata. Its description in RNAcentral is "tRNA-Gln". The record is from RNAcentral. Lineage: Eukaryota; Metazoa; Arthropoda; Insecta; Coleoptera; Chrysomelidae.
UAUAUUUUAGUAUAAAUGUACGUGAAAUUUUGAUUUUUAAAGUGUUAAUUUUAUUUAACAAAUAUAU